GCCUCAGUGGUCUAGGGGUAUGAUUCUCGCUUUGGGUGCUAGAGGUCCCGGGUUCAAUUCCCGACUGAGCCC
This 72-nucleotide transfer RNA is filed under the name Echinococcus granulosus. It matches the Rfam family "tRNA". Rfam says of the family: Transfer RNA (tRNA) molecules are approximately 80 nucleotides in length. Their secondary structure includes four short double-helical elements and three loops (D, anti-codon, and T loops). Lineage: Eukaryota; Metazoa; Platyhelminthes; Cestoda; Cyclophyllidea; Taeniidae. The record is from Rfam by way of RNAcentral.